AAUAUCAUUCUUUGAUUUAGCGAUUUAUGAUAUUUAAAUCAUCACCCACUUUUAACAUAUUAUACUUUUAUCAUAUUAUACAUCAGUUUACAUCAUUAAACUCCAUUUUUAGGUGAAUCUAAUCCAACAUAUAUUUUAUGAAAAAUAGAUAUGAAGUUAAUUAUCAUAAUAUGCAUCAUCAUAAUUAGAAGAUUAUAAAAUACUCUAACAUAUAUAAAAAUAGUAAUUUUUUUUUAUAGAAAA
This 243-nucleotide unclassified non-coding RNA is filed under the name Hevea brasiliensis (rubber tree). Lineage: Eukaryota; Viridiplantae; Streptophyta; Magnoliopsida; Malpighiales; Euphorbiaceae. The record is from RNAcentral.